RNAcentral lists this ribosomal RNA (996 nucleotides) under uncultured bacterium. RNAcentral's name for it is "bacterial SSU rRNA". It matches the Rfam family "Bacterial small subunit ribosomal RNA", at positions 355 to 1375 of the family's 1533-position model. The record is from RNAcentral.
UGGGGAAUAUUGCACAAUGGGGGAAACCCUGAUGCAGCGACCCCGCGUGGAGGAAGAAGGUCUUCGGAUUGUAAACUCCUGUUGUUGAGGAAGAUAAUGACGGUACUCAACAAGGAAGUGACGGCUAACUACGUGCCAGCAGCCGCGGUAAAACGUAGGUCACAAGCGUUGUCCGGAAUUACUGGGUGUAAAGGGAGCGCAGGCGGACCGGCAAGUUGGAAGUGAAAUCCAUGGGCUCAACCCGUGAAUUGCUUUCAAAACUGCUGGCCUUGAGUAGUGCAGAGGUAGGUGGAAUUCCCGGUGUAGCGGUGGAAUGCGUAGAUAUCGGGAGGAACACCAGUGGCGAAGGCGACCUACUGGGCACCAACUGACGCUGAGGCUCGAAAGCAUGGGUAGCAAACAGGAUUAGAUACCCUGGUAGUCCAUGCCGUAAACGAUGAUUACUAGGUGUUGGAGGAUUGACCCCUUCAGUGCCGCAGUUAACACAAUAAGUAAUCCACCUGGGGAGUACGACCGCAAGGUUGAAACUCAAAGGAAUUGACGGGGGCCCGCACAAGCAGUGGAGUAUGUGGUUUAAUUCGAAGCAACGCGAAGAACCUUACCAGGUCUUGACAUCCGAUGCAUAGUGCAGAGAUGCAUGAAGUCCUUCGGGACAUCGAGACAGGUGGUGCAUGGUUGUCGUCAGCUCGUGUCGUGAGAUGUUGGGUUAAGUCCCGCAACGAGCGCAACCCUUAUUGCCAGUUACUACGCAAGAGGACUCUGGCGAGACUGCCGUUGACAAAACGGAGGAAGGUGGGGAUGACGUCAAAUCAUCAUGCCCUUUAUGACCUGGGCUACACACGUACUACAAUGGCGUUUAACAAAGAGAAGCAAGACCGCGAGGUGGAGCAAAACUCAGAAACAACGUCUCAGUUCAGAUUGCAGGCUGCAACUCGCCUGCAUGAAGUCGGAAUUGCUAGUAAUCGCGGAUCAGCAUGCCGCGGUGAAUACGUUCCC